AUUGAUCGCUGGCGGCCGGCCUCACACAUGCAAGUCGAGCGGAUGAAGUGUGCUGGCUCCUGGAUUCAGCGGCGGACGGGUGCGUAAUUCAUAUGAAUCUGCCUGGUAGUGGGGGAUAACGUACGGACCCGGGCGCUGAUACAGCAUACGUCAUGAGACAGAAAGUGGGGGAUAUUCGGACCACACGCUAUCAGAUGAUCCUAGGUCGCAUUACCUAGUUGGUGUGGUAAAGGCCUACCAAGGCGACGAUCCGUAACUGAUCUGAGAGGAUGAUCAGCCACACUGGAACUGAGACACGGUCCAGACUCCUACGGGAGGCAGCAGUGGGGAAUAUUGGACAAUGGGCGAAAGCCUGAUCCAGCCAUGCCGCGUGUGUGAAGAAGGUCUUCGGAUUGUAAAGCACUGUAAGUUGGGAGGAAGGGCAGUAAGUUAAUACCUUGCUGUUUUGACGUUACCAACAGAAUAAGCACCGGCUAACUUCGUG
RNAcentral lists this ribosomal RNA (484 nucleotides) under uncultured bacterium. RNAcentral's name for it is "partial 16S ribosomal RNA". It matches the Rfam family "Bacterial small subunit ribosomal RNA", at positions 30 to 507 of the family's 1533-position model. The record is from RNAcentral.